UGCAGCACCACGACGGCAUUGUCAUUGAUUAAUGCCAAGUUGUAUUAUACAUCCCAAUGUGUCCCUUGAAAACAAUUUUCUUUCUCUCUGUUUUGCGGCAACUGCGACGGCAGCACCGGCCUGCGACGGCUCACAAGCUAUCACCUCCAAUGCGGCUGGAGUAGCAUACUACUCCGUUUCGUCUACCGGCUGAGUCGUAAUGUCAUAUGUAAAACAUACAGAUAUAAACUAUGCAUGAUUCAUUGGCUGACGUCAUACUGGCUAUUUUCUUCCUAUUGACAUGUAUCCUUCUGACACAUCAAUUAGACGUGUGUAUAUGUACUUCGUGCUAGCUUCAGUUAGAAGUAUAUCUACCCCCUAUUUAAUAUCACAAUUUUGAAGUAUAUGCACUUCAUAGCAAAUACUACAUACGACCAUACUCCAUAACACCUUCUAUAAGAAUUACAGGAAUAUAUAUUCUAGCAUGUUAAUAAUAAAAAAAAUCUGCACUACUCGCCCACGAAAAAACAGCUCCAUACUACCUUAUCUAAACUGACAUGUANAAUCUGCACUACUCGCCCACGAAAAAACAGCUCCAUACUACCUUAUCUAAACUGACAUGUACAUACAUACUCCAUACUCUUGGUCUAUGCUACCAUACUAUGAUACUCUAUACUACCCUAUUAAAAGUGAUGUGUACGUGCAUAGUAUCCUAUCUAAACAAAGUAAAAUAUACAAAUUAUAUAAGUUCCAUCUAGACAAAAAUCAAGCAGAAAAUUGAACUAGCACGUACAUUUGUUAUUAGAUUAUUAAAUCACAUGAUUUAUUUUACCCAGCCAAGCUAGAGUACCUACCAUCCCAAGAAAUUAGCGCCAACAAUUAUCUUAAGUACUCUUCACGUGGGAUGAGAGUUAGCGGGUUUAGAAUGACCCAGCAUACGCCCAUUCACCAGGUUUGUUUGGUGGUAAGGUGAGGGACACGCGGAGACCAAAGAAUUAGGUGGUAACUACCACUGCUUGUAGAUAAAAUUUGUCAUAUAUAUAUAUGNN
This 1028-nucleotide long non-coding RNA is filed under the name Hordeum vulgare. RNAcentral describes it as "long non-coding RNA (HVUL_LNC005046)". The record is from RNAcentral. Lineage: Eukaryota; Viridiplantae; Streptophyta; Magnoliopsida; Poales; Poaceae.